RNAcentral lists this ribosomal RNA (823 nucleotides) under Deltaproteobacteria bacterium. Its description in RNAcentral is "bacterial SSU rRNA". It matches the Rfam family "Bacterial small subunit ribosomal RNA", at positions 1 to 797 of the family's 1533-position model. Lineage: Bacteria; Pseudomonadati; Myxococcota; Myxococcia. The record is from RNAcentral.
UAACUGGAGAGUUUGAUUCUGGCUCAGAACGAACGCUGGCGGCAUGCCUAACACAUGCAAGUCGCACGGGAAUUCCCGCCGCAAGGCGGGAUAGUACAGUGGCGCACGGGUGAGUAACACGUAGGUAACCUACCUGUUGUUGGGGAACAACCUGUCGAAAGACGGGCUAAUUCCGCAUAACCUCUCCUCAUGAAAAUGAGGCGAGAAAAGAGGACCUCUUCAUGAAAGUUCUCGACGACAGAUGGGCCUGCGUCCGAUUAGCUAGUUGGUAGGGUAACGGCCUACCAAGGCGACGAUCGGUAGCUGGUCUGAGAGGACGAUCAGCCACACUGGCACUGAAACACGGGCCAGACUCCUACGGGAGGCAGCAGUGGGGAAUAUUGGACACGGGGGGAAACCCUGAUCCAGCAAUGCCGCGUGAGCGAUGAAGGCCUUCGGGUCGUAAAGCUCUGUCGGGGGGGACGAAACCUUCGUGGGAAUAAUACCCCAUGAAAUUGACGGUACCCCCAAAGGAAGCACCGGCUAACUCUGUGCCAGCAGCCGCGGUAAUACAGAGGGUGCUAGCGUUGUUCGGAAUUACUGGGCGUAAAGCGCGUGUAGGCGGAUGAAGAAGUCGGGUGUGAAAGCCCUGGGCUUAACCCAGGAACUGCGCCCGAAACCAUUCAUCUGGAGUACAGCAGGGGAGCGGGGAAUUCCCGGUGUAGAGGUGAAAUUCGUAGAUAUCGGGAGGAACACCAGUGGCGAAGGCGCCGCUCUGGGCUGUCACUGACGCUGAAACGCGAAAGCUUGGGGAGCAAACAGGAUUAGAUACCCUGGUAGUCCA